Molecule: unclassified non-coding RNA, 6499 nt
Filed under: Homarus americanus (American lobster)
Lineage: Eukaryota; Metazoa; Arthropoda; Malacostraca; Decapoda; Nephropidae
Description: acetylcholine receptor subunit beta-like 2, transcript variant X1
Source: RNAcentral
AUCUAGGCGGGUGUCACCUUCACAGCCAGAGGACCUACUCGCCAGAGAUCCAGAAAGCCAUCGAGGGCGUCCAGUUCAUCGCGCAACACAUUAGGGACGCGGACCGCGAUAAUGAGGUGAUACAGGAUUGGAAAUACGUGGCGAUGGUGCUGGAUCGUCUCUUCCUGUGGGUGUUCACUAUCGCCUGUGUGGUGGGCACUUGUGGCAUCAUCUUUCAGGCUCCCUCGCUCUACGACACUCGCGCACCUAUUGACGAAAUCUACUCGCAAAUUGGGACCGAAGUUUCUACAACCCAAAAUACCGGUUAAUAAAUCACACACGGUGCUUCUCUUGUGUGUGUGUGUGUGUGUAAGUGUGUGUGUGUGAACGUACGUGUGUGUGUACGUGUGUGUGUGUACGUACGUGUGUUUGUACGUGUGUGUGUGUGAACGUACGUGUGUGUGUGUACGUGUGUGUGUGUGUACGUACGUGUGUGUGUACGUGUGUGUGUGUAUGUGUGUGUGUGUUUAUUCCUAUAUGUUUGCUUCUUUGCUUAUAAUAAGUCGUAGUUGCGCCUUCAAUGUUCCAUUUAAAAAACAAAAACAAAAAGACACACACACACACACACACACAUAUAUAUAUAUAUAAAUAUAUAUCUAAAUAUUUAUGAAUAUUAUCAUCCCUCAGUUUUAUUGACCCUUACAGACCAACUCUCAGGACUUGUGAGGGAGAGUUCGGUCUCCAGUGUGAGUUAGUGUAAGUUAAGACUAUUUACAAGUACUAUGUUAAGGGCUGUUUUAUCUCACUUAGAGAAGUUUUAGUAGUGAAGGCUCUAAAGUCAUUAUAGUGUCAUAAGUUUGAGAACUAUUAAGUAAAAGCGACGCUCAUUAUAAAGUUCUGUAGUGUUGUGACAUUUCUGUUGCACGCGCGUGUGUGUCUGUGUGAGUGUUUGUUUGACUAUGCGUGUGUGUGUGUAAGUAUGUAUCUUCAUGCACACAAGAGAGAGCUAUUGACAUCUUUGAUGGAAGUUUGAAGUAUUUAAAUCGCUCAUGAAUUCAAAACUUUGGCUUCAGUCAGUGAGUGUAGUUGACUGGUCAGUUGACAAAGCACCACCACGUGUUACUGACCCGUAGAGGACAGCCGCCUCGUCAUGUUCCUGGGUCAUGUGAUUAUAGACGUUACCUAAUAAUUCACAUGUUAGACAAUACUUGUUAUCGUCUUUACUGGUUGUCAAAGCUGCUCAAGAGGUUCCCGCGUUUUCACUACAGAAAAAAACCCCCGCUAAACCUCUCUCUGAUGUCAUGAAGUGGUGACUUAAAACUGAUGUCAGAAUAUAAACAAGAUCCCUCCCCUAUGGUGAAGAUAACCUUUCCUUCUCUCCAUGUUGUUGAUGCAUAACAUUAAUAUUAGGGAAGAGUGUAUGGGACAUUUUAUAUGCUUAAGAUUUGUACAUAAACAAAAGAUACCAAGACGUAGAGGUAAUAAUACUAUUUGUUGAACUGGUCAGGUGACACCAACCAUCCCUCCCUCCUUCCCUCUUACUUGAGAUACAUAGUCAAUGGACUUUUUUAAACCAUCAACAAGGUGUAAUUCCAAAACCCUUUACAAUGUAUUCUCAUUUAAAUCUUCGAUGUUACAGGAAUCAAUAUGGAAUUUGUACAAUUUUUUACAGCUAUUUGUCUGUUAGCUUUAUAGCUUUAGAGCAUAGUAGUUUUCCCCAGACCUCCACACAUCUUAGUUGGUCUGCGGCUCAUACUCCUCACGGUCUAAGAGGUGUUAAGGUCUGGUAGUGAGACCCAGGGAUGUACUGGAGUGUAUGACUGAUUGGUUCACACCUGACAGCACUAGCACGCCCGCAAUAGAUGUUUUCUUUUGGCCAUUAAAUAUUAAAACAACAACAACGAGAUGACAGUUUUAAAAGACGGACAGGAUAUUAUUUCUUAAUUUGUCAGAGAUUAUUAUCCGGUUUAGAUAUUAAGACUUGGUGAACGAUACUUAAAGAAUCUGGGAGUUGAAGCAUUACACAACAGUAACAACAACUGCGUCAAACUGCUGCACUCUGGCUGUGGGUCCUGUGCUCACCGCGUCUUAGCAUUAUCAUCCACCAUACUCCGCUAACGAGACUUUUCAUGGAGUCGAGUGUACAGAAGGGUCAAUGUUCAGGCAAUUAGAUGGGCGUUAUCACCCGUGUCAACUAUCCAACUCGUUAUCCGGAACACUGUCGCGUAUAGGAGGACUUACUUCAUUCCUUAGUCUUGGAGGCACACAGUGGCAUUUUGAUUUCUCCGUUAAAUGGGGACCGGAGGUUGAACCAAUAUGCCACUACCAGGUGCUGUCUACGGUGCAACUAAUUACUGUAUACAAAUGGACACUGGAUAAGAGACGAACGAAGAUAAACAGAUGUAUAUUUACUGUCAGUUAUCCUUAAGUCUCUUUCGUUUGUCCAUUAUUUUCAUGUUAUUAAAGUGUCGAGUCACAGGUGUAGUGUCUCACCUGUGCUAACACUUGACCCUCACUCAGGCACAGGUGUAGUGUCUCACCUGUGCUAACACUUGACCCUCACUCAGGCACAGGUGUAGUAUCUCACCUGUGCUAACACUUGACCCUCACUCAGGCACAGGUGUAGUGUCUCACCUGUGCUAACACUUGACCCUCACUCAGUAUUACUUAAAAAGAUUUUCCUCGCAGUUGACUUCAUUAUGAGACUUAAGUUAAUUACUUUUUGGUAGUUUUUAUGCUUAAUGGACAACUUCAGGAAGAUGAAUUUUGUAAGUUACUCUAAGGUCUGGCACUGAUACGUGUUCUUAUCCCACAAAUAUGCUGCAGCGAGCGGCCUAUUCCGAAGAAGUUAUCAUUUAAAUACAAACUGACCACAAAGUAGAGGUGACGCCAAGCAGCAAGAGGUUGACAGAGGUGCUGUACAAGGUUGACCACAGUUUUUUGGUUCCAUUUGGUAUUUUUGUAUUUCACCAAAAAUAUCAGCGAAUAAACACAAUGACUGGAGUUGACCUUUAAAGUAAUUGUAUUUUCUCACCUGUAUUUAACAAGUGUUGUAUAGUAUUUCUUCCCUAAUUCCCUUGAUUGUUGGUCCUAUUUUGGUGAAUUAAUAGUUGUUAUAUAUAUAUAUAUAGGUCAUUAUAUAGCUUACCUGACCCAUGAACGAACCCAGCGUUAUAAGAUUGUGUGACGUGAGUACCCAGGGAGGUGUUGGCUGGAGCCCGUCACUUGCCGCCGCCUCCUGACCAGUGUAUCGCAGUCGUGGGCAAAAGUAAACAUACUAACUCCAUACACAGAGUACUGUAUACUUCUUGAUAUGAACGAGUUGUUGUCUAGUGUAGAAACUGAUAGUGAACAGUGCUUAAAGAUCUUAACUAUUGCAGCACCUGACUACUUUAACAACAACAACCUCUCAUCUGGAAGUUGUAAACAUCAUUUGCCUUUUUAAUUUAAUAAUGAACUGUGGCGACGUGAGGCUUCAUUCUGUAAUUUGCUCAAUUUAUAUCAAACAAUGCCUUUAUUUUCACUCGCAUUACCUGAAAAUAAAGUGAAAACUCAGGUUAGUUCCUGAAAUGUCUGUCGAGGACUUACUAAUAUCGGAAAAUAUAUGGAUGGUGACAAGGCUAACCAAUCACUAUCACCACACAUCUGUUCUAAGAGUCUGAUUGUGUUAGAGCAGUGAAGGUAAUCAGUGUUAACGAUAAGACUAAACCAACCACUGGCAGUUAUGUAAAAUAACCCUCAGAAAACGCUAAAACACCAAUACACGAUAAUGAACACAACGCAACACACAGCACAACACUUCAGAUCUGUUCCAUUCUGCCGCUCGAAAAAGCAUCAACCCAGACUCCUAAAAACCCACCAACACGCAGAGAACACUACCAUGCGUAACACCAAGCUAAUAUUCUUGUUUCCUCUUGAUCACUAAAGUUUUAUAAGUGUUUUGCCACAACAUGGAGAACACACUUGUGAUAUUGAGAAAUGAUUUAUGAUUUCUAUAACGUUCGUGCCAAGUUGUUGAUAUUUUGAGUCAUCUUGAAAUUGAUUAUCAAAUACAAACGUAACUGCAAUGAGGACACAUACAUUGAGAGUUUAAUGCAAAUGAAUAAUGUUUGAAAAAAUAGCUUUAUAGUCACAACCUCUCCCUGUUACAUGAAAUGGUGAUUAACUAAUAUCAUCUGCUUCAAACUGUACAAUAAGAAACAUCCUUCACACGAGAAAAACUUAUCAGUCAAGGCAGGACAGACAGACAUUGGGUUGAUUAGACAGAGAGGGAUAUUAGUGUGCGUAUACCUGGUCGCUAUAAAACUGUCACAUCUCAAGUAAAAUAUAAAAACAGUAAGCUAUGUAAAACAGAUAACGUAUUUAUUCUGUGUAACCUUACCGUCAAUAUAACCCCUCACGACCCCUUAAAGUUGUAAAUAUUAAUAAACCUUUUCAAUAUAAUGCUCCAACUAUUAUAAUGCUCGUGGUCAUCAUUGGUUUUAUAACAUGAAUCUCUAACCAAAAAUUUGAGAGAAAUUGGGCUAAAGGUCAAAGGGAUUAAGGGAUAACUCGUGUAUCGUGGGCCGCGCAGUGUUGACUUGCUGGCGAUGAGGUCGAGGGUAAAACGCGGUGUUGUGAAGUGCUUAGGUGGCAAGAUCCUAUUAGUCUUUUCUUACCAUUGUAGAUGUUUUCCCUUUCUUUUUCGUUUUUCCUCUUUUUUUCUCUCUACUUCCUUUAUUCUCUCUUGUCUGUGUGCCUGUUUCCAUCUGCCUGUAGGUCUCUCUCUCUCCCUGUCUCCCAAACUUUAUAUAUUAGAUUAAGUGAACGAUAAGUAUCUUGGUGAUUUAUACUGUUUGUGCAUAUAAACACACACAUAUAUAAAUAUAUAUAUAUACAUAUAUCUAUUUUUGGGGAAGUAUUUCCUUUGAAAUAACAGAGAUUUCCCAAGAAUUGCCGACAAUUGCUUAAUAGCUGUAGUUGUUCAGUAGACUAGUUCAAGAAAUGGGUUGGUUGGAUCAACCCCGACACACAUGCUGUUGUUCUCUGAUUUUUACAUUGUGUUCCCAGAAUUUCAGACUUCGAGGCUGACGCGGGGAGCAGCGGGUCACUUUUUUCAGAGGUUGUUUAUGUCCGCACUCACCGGCUGUCGCCCCGAUCUCUGAAUUUCAGGAACUGUUAACACAAAGCGCACUCAACGAAGAUUAGCAUUUUUUUUCUAAUCAAGUUUAUUCUUAUGUGAUUAGAGAGAUCCAUCAGCAGUGGUGAUUCUUUAUAAGGAAGUCUUUUGUUUAUGACUAAGGCUUAACGGAGACGUGAUUUGUAAACCUUUUGAAAGAAGAGAAAUUGUGAUUUAUUUCAGUGAUGUAUUGAUACGAGAUAGACUAAAACCACCACACCUUUUUACCCUUUCAAUGGAGUUUGUUCCUUAAUAUGUAAUCAAAUAUGUAUACCUUAGAAAAAAGAAAAAACAUCUUCAACAUAAAGAAGUUUCACUGCUCACACACGUCUAAAAAAAAAAUUAUGUUAACUAAAAAAAUAAUAAUAAUUUACCAUGUUGAAUCAAAAUCUGUGCCAAGAACGAGUAGAAACAAGAAGAGUCUUCCUCCAGUACCCGAAUGUUUUGCUCACUCUUACGGUUUCAGCACUACAUAAAAUAUUUAGAAGAAGAAAACAAAAAAAAUAUGUGAAGCACUUUGAGAUAUUUUUACCGCCCUUAGUUCAGUACCAACAACAUCCGGGGUCUUGAUACAAUAAGUGAAAGAGACAAGGGACACCUGGUGGAGAGAUACUAGUGACUAUGAUGUAGUAGUACAGUAUUAUAUGAAUAGGUAAUCAAUAAAAUAUAUCAUUCUUCAAUAGUAUCCCCCUUGAACCUGCCCUUAUGAUAAAAAAUGGGAAAUUGUUUUACUCUACGUGGAAUUUUGAGAUAACUUUAGUCAAAUGAGCAUCUUUGGGUACGAUAAAAAUAUGACACUUAAUUGAUUAGUUACAACACUUAGAAACUCAAAUACGUCUCUUAGAUGUUCAGAUAUGAUGCUUGAUGUUUAUAUCCGACUUCUAAUUCACAUAUAUGAUCCUUAAUGCUCAGAUCUGGCCCUCAAGUACCAAUAAGUGACACUCGAAGCUCCACACAAAACAUAAUGGCUUUCGUCAGCUCCUCAAUGUUGAUAUAUCCAAUUUACGAUUCAAAAAAAAAAAAAUUAACAAUGGGGUAAUAAUAAUCAAUGGCUGUCUUAUGCCAAACUUUAAUAAUAGUAAUAAUAAAAAUAAUGAUAAUAAUAAAACACAUCCCUCACUCAUUAAUGAAAACAACAUCCAUACGUGAGGUCAGGAAAGGUGGAAAUUCAUGUAACAAAAAAAAUCAAUAUAUAUAAAGGAGAAACAUUCAUGUAUCUCUCUCCGUCUAUCUCUCUCCUCCAUCAGCUGUCUCUCGUCUCUCUACUUCACCAGGGUGUUGUGUCAAGUACUUCCCUCUCAAUAAAAACAAACAAAAAAAUAAACACAUCCUUCUUUGUCAAUAAAAACCCCUAAACAUUCA